This 468-nucleotide ribosomal RNA is filed under the name uncultured bacterium. Its description in RNAcentral is "partial 16S ribosomal RNA". It matches the Rfam family "Bacterial small subunit ribosomal RNA", at positions 28 to 507 of the family's 1533-position model. The record is from RNAcentral.
GACGAACGCUGGCGGCGUGCUUAACACAUGCAAGUCGAACGGAAAGGCCCUGCUUUUGUGGGGUGCUCGAGUGGCGAACGGGUGAGUAACACGUGAGUAACCUGCCCUUGACUUUGGGAUAACUUCAGGAAACUGGGGCUAAUACCGGAUAGGAGCUCCUGCUGCAUGGUGGGGGUUGGAAAGUUUCGGCGGUUGGGGAUGGACUCGCGGCUUAUCAGCUUGUUGGUGGGGUAGUGGCUUACCAAGGCUUUGACGGGUAGCCGGCCUGAGAGGGUGACCGGCCCCAUUGGGACUGCGGUACGGCCCAGACUCCUACGGGGGACAGCGGUGGGGAAUAUUGCACAAUGGGCGGAAGCCUGAUGCAGCAGCGCCGCGUGCGGGAUGACGGCCUUCGGGUUGUAAACCGCUUUCGCCUGUGACGAAGCGUGAGUGACGGUAAUGGGUAAAGAAGCACCGGCUAACUACGUG